This is a long non-coding RNA of Helianthus annuus (common sunflower), 259 nucleotides long. RefSeq lists it as uncharacterized. The transcript is spliced from 2 exons. Lineage: Eukaryota; Viridiplantae; Streptophyta; Magnoliopsida; Asterales; Asteraceae. The record is from RefSeq and is a predicted model, not a curated record.
AAAACCAAAAUAUUAAAGAGUUAAACUGCCAAACCGUGGUUUUCUGAGACCGUUGCUAGCGGUCCGAUCCAGAAUGUUGCCAAACUUUGGUUUUACAGAUAAAUCCAACUUCCCAACAUUUCGGUAGUGAGCAUCAGACCCGUCACACGACACAUAACUAUAGCACGAUCAAACGGUGAUUACAAUGUCAUAAAUAAAGCUGCCAAGUAUCGGAAAGCAACUGAUCUUGGCUGUUUUUACAAAAAAAAAAAAAAAAAAA